AUGAUGAAGUACAGUGUAUGGGACAUCUCCUUCAACAAUAGGCUCUAUGAUAACUGGGAGAAUGGAUGGGUAAGGCAUUGCGAGACUCUGAGCGCGAGCCCGUACCCACCUAAGGUAAGGCUCAAGGGGAAUGGAACUCUUGUGCCCAAAUGUCCUACUGUCCACCUUGCUUACCAUCCUCCAGGCUCGUAUGAACCUCCAACGGUAGUCUUGAUUGUCACUUUCAUAGUUGAACACUACACCUUGGAUGAGUGUGUCAUGUGGACCAUCUCUUCAUGCGUACCCAAACUGUCACAGAUCUAA
Non-coding RNA from Vicia faba (fava bean), 303 nucleotides. Lineage: Eukaryota; Viridiplantae; Streptophyta; Magnoliopsida; Fabales; Fabaceae. The record is from the annotation of a GenBank genome assembly.